GAAAAGCUGCAUCAUAUUAAAUAUAGUGGGCUAAUUAUGGUUUCCUUUGUUUCAUGCUUAUUUAACUUGCUAAUAGUUUAAAAUUUGCUGCAUUGAACUUUGGAUUAUUGAACUGCAUUUUGUAAAUCUGUCCUGCGUUUUGAUUGUUUUGUGAAAUAUUCUUGUGUUCUGCAGUUACAUAAAAGAUUCGAUAUAUUGUUGACCUUGGCUAAAAACAGUCGGAAACCUCUCUCUAUCUAUAUCUCAUCUCUAUCUGUAUUCGUCAUCUGUUUCCGUAAUCUAUUUGGCUCCAUCUGACAUCCUGAUUAUAUAUUUUGUGCUGAUCAAGUGCUUGAUAAUUUCACGACACAUUAGGCUACAAUUCUCCUGUGUUCAAAGUUGCGUAUUGUGGGCUUGUGUACUUCAGUUUGCUCAUCUCAGUUAUAAGACGGGAUAAU
Long non-coding RNA from Styela clava, 437 nucleotides. RefSeq lists it as uncharacterized. The record is from RefSeq and is a predicted model, not a curated record. NCBI's taxonomy places the organism in Eukaryota, Metazoa, Chordata, Ascidiacea, Stolidobranchia, Styelidae.